Molecule: ribosomal RNA, 570 nt
Filed under: Triticum aestivum (bread wheat)
Lineage: Eukaryota; Viridiplantae; Streptophyta; Magnoliopsida; Poales; Poaceae
Description: partial small subunit ribosomal RNA
Source: RNAcentral
AUGAAAAUCAGUGGUUGGAAGGAAAAGCUGCUAUCAGCAGCAGGAAAGGAAAUCCUUCUUAAAUCAGUUGUACAAGCUAUCCCAACUUAUGCAAUGUCUGGCUUCGAAAUUGCUAAAAACAUCUGCAAUGGAAUCAUUGACACGAUGUCGCAUUUUUGGUGGGGUGACGAAGACAAUCAGAAGAGAAUGCAUUGGAUGGCAUGGUGGAAGAUGUGUGUACCAAAAAACAAGGGAAUGGGGUUUUGAGAUAUACACUGAUUCAAUUUGGCAUUGUUAGCCAAACAAGCGUGGCACCUGCUUGAUAAUCCUGAUUCCCUAUGUGCCACCAUUUUGAGAGCUAAAUAUUUUCCAGAUGGAGACUUAAUGAAUGCAAGUCUUAAAAUGGACCUUCUUUCACUUGGCAAAGCAUUAUGGCGGGAGUGGAUUCUCUCAAAAAUGGUUAUAUUUAGAGUGUUGGAAAUAGACAAAAUAUUGACAUUUGGAGAUAUGCAUGGAUCCCGAAUGGGGCCAAUAGGAAAAUUAUCACUCCUAGAAGAGGGAAACUUCUAUCAAAAGUUGCUGAUCUUAUAG